Molecule: RNA transcript, 1829 nt
Organism: Melanaphis sacchari
Lineage: Eukaryota; Metazoa; Arthropoda; Insecta; Hemiptera; Aphididae
Gene name: probable cytochrome P450 6a13
Exons: 6
Source: RefSeq, a predicted model, not a curated record
AUAAAAAAAAACCUAGACAUAUACGUUUUCGCAGUUUUAAAUUCAUAGCAAGAUUUAUUAAUUCAUUAUAUACCCGUACUCCGUAGGUGUUCCCUGCGAUAAUUUACAAUUAAGUUACAUUAUUUUAUAACCAUGAUUUUGUACUUGACCAAUUUGCUGUGUGACAACACCAUAUUGAGUUUGGUUAUUGUUUGUACGUUUAUUUAUUAUUAUACGACGUCGACGUACGACACAUGGAGGAAAUUAAAUGUACCGUAUGCAAAACCAGUGCCUAUUUUUGGGAAUAUAUUCAAAAUGUUUACGGGCUUAGAGCAUCAAGUGGAUACGUUCGGACGAAUUUAUAAACAAUUUCCCGAUAAUAAAUUUUGCGGGUUUUAUCAAAUGAGUACGCCGUUUUUGAUGAUUCGUGAUCCAGAGCUGAUCAACACGAUGCUCGUCAAAGACUUCUCGUAUUUCACUGACCACGGUAUUGACGUGAACCCUUUGGUAAAUAUAAUGGCGAGAAGCUUGUUUUUUGCGACCGGACAAAAAUGGAAAAUUAUGAGACAAAAACUAAGUCUAGGAUUCACGUCUAGUAAGCUCAAAGGUACACAUGAACAGAUCCAAGAGUGCAGCGAUCAGUUGAUAGACUGUAUUCGUGAAAAAUCCAAGAUAACCGAGGGAAUUGAAAUACAUGAACUUGUCGGAAAUUCAGCCACUGACGUAAUUGGAACGUGUGCAUUUGGUAUGAAAUUGGAUACAAUUUAUAACGAUAAUUCAAGCUUUAGAAAAAAUGUAAAAAAAUUGUUCAAACCUAGUGGUAAAGUUAUUUUUCUUCAAAUACUUGAAGUUCUAUUUCCAAAAAUCAUUAAGUUCUUAAAACUUCAAACUUCUCCGGUAGACAUAGAUGCCAUUAAUUUUUUUCAUUCCGUAUUUGGCGAAGUUAUUGAGUAUAGGACCAAAAAUAAUGUGGUUAGAAAUGAUCUAACACAAACUUUAAUGAAAGCAAGACAGGAUUUGGUAAUAAACAGUGAUUAUAAAGGAGAAGAAAAGUAUUGUGAAUUAGAUAUAAUUGCAAAUGCAAUGUUGUUGUUUUCGGCCGGUUCUGAAACUGUAACUGCUACAGCAUCUUUUUGUUUUUACGAGUUAGCAUUGAACAAAAAUAUUCAAGACAGAUUACGAGCCGAGAUAAUUUCGUCACAAAUAAAAUAUGGUAAACAGUUUAACAAUGAAUUUUUGGAAGAUCUUCACUACGCCGAUAUGGUUUUAGAUGAAACUCAUCGUAAGUACACCAUAAUUACGGCUCUAUUGAGAGGAGCUACACAAAAUUAUAAAGUACCUGGGGAGUCAUUAAUAAUUGAAAAAGGACAAAAAAUUUUAAUACCAAUACAUAGUAUACAUCAUGACCCAAAGUAUUAUCCAAAUCCCCAUAUUUUCAAUCCGGAAAGAUUUACUGCGGAAGAAAAAUCUAAACGACCGAGUGGAACAUUUUUACCGUUUGGUGAUGGACUUCGCCAUUGCAUAGGAAAACGUUUUGCUGAAUUGGAAUUGAAAAUAAUUCUUUCAAAAAUAUUGUCGAAAUUUGAAAUUACACCCUGUGAAAAAACGGAAAUACCACUAAAAAUGAAAAAAGAACGAGGGAUAAUUUCACCGAAAAAUGGAAUUUGGUUAAGUUUUAGGCCGAUUGUGAAUUAAUAUGUUUAGCAGCGCGACGUUAUUUGCCAUAAAAAUAUGGUUGAUUAUUGUCGUACAAACAUGUGUCAAUCGUUAAAUUCAAGUUAAUUUACCAAACGACGGUGAUGGAGACAUAUGUUUUGCAGAAGAACCGUAAUCUGUUUUCAGCUGUAUGA